GGAAAACUCGAAUGAACUCUUUGGCUGACUCAGUAUUAUGUUUAGCAUCAGAGAGUCAUCAGCAUGUUCC
This is a microRNA precursor of Bison bison bison, 70 nucleotides long. The record is from Ensembl. NCBI's taxonomy places the organism in Eukaryota, Metazoa, Chordata, Mammalia, Artiodactyla, Bovidae.